RNAcentral lists this non-coding RNA (103 nucleotides) under Pseudobacteroides cellulosolvens. RNAcentral describes it as "NiCo sequence". It matches the Rfam family "NiCo (Nickel/Cobalt) riboswitch aptamer". RNAcentral also lists the same sequence under 1 other name. Lineage: Bacteria; Bacillati; Bacillota; Clostridia; Eubacteriales; Oscillospiraceae. The record is from RNAcentral.
AAAAGGAAAAUAGAUCAGGCCAUUAAGUCUUGGACUUUGUGGAGCCGGGCCGGUUUUGCGGCAGCAGGAUGGCAAUUAUUGCAGAAAUACCUGUGGGACUAUA